UACGGAGGGGACUAGCGUUGUUCGGAAUUACUGGGCGUAAAGCGCACGUAGGCGGAUUUGUAAGUCUGUUGUGAAAGCCCCGGGCUCAACCUGGGAAUGGCAAUGGAUACUGGCAAGCUAGAGUGUGGUAGAGGGUAGUGGAAUUCCCGGUGUAGCGGUGAAAUGCGUAGAGAUCGGGAGGAACACCAGUGGCGAAGGCGGCUACCUGGACCAGCACUGACACUGAGGCACGAAAGCGUGGGGAGCAAACAGG
This 253-nucleotide ribosomal RNA is filed under the name uncultured bacterium. Its description in RNAcentral is "partial 16S ribosomal RNA". It matches the Rfam family "Bacterial small subunit ribosomal RNA", at positions 524 to 776 of the family's 1533-position model. The record is from RNAcentral.